AACGAACGCUGGCGGCAGGCCUAACACAUGCAAGUCGAGCGGUAACAGAGAUAGCUUGCUAUCUGCUGACGAGCGGCGGACGGGUGAGUAAUGCUUGGGAAUAUGCCUUUGAGUGGGGGACAACAGUUGGAAACGACUGCUAAUACCGCAUAAUGCCUACGGGCCAAAGAGGGGGAUCUUCGGACCUCUCGCGUCAAGAUAUGCCUAGGUGGGAUUAGCUAGUUGGUGAGGUAAUGGCUCACCAAGGCGACGAUCCCUAGCUGGUCUGAGAGGAUGACCAGCCACACUGGAACUGAGACACGGUCCAG
This 308-nucleotide ribosomal RNA is filed under the name uncultured bacterium. RNAcentral's name for it is "bacterial SSU rRNA". It matches the Rfam family "Bacterial small subunit ribosomal RNA", at positions 29 to 334 of the family's 1533-position model. The record is from RNAcentral.